RNAcentral lists this ribosomal RNA (766 nucleotides) under Amathia pustulosa. Its description in RNAcentral is "partial 16S ribosomal RNA". The stretch from base 352 to 591 matches the Rfam family "Archaeal large subunit ribosomal RNA", at positions 1787 to 2143 of the family's 2987-position model. The record is from RNAcentral. Lineage: Eukaryota; Metazoa; Bryozoa; Gymnolaemata; Ctenostomatida; Vesiculariidae.
UCUUGUAACAAAAAGAGACAAUAGAAAUAAUUGUAGAGACCAAAUAUCAUUCACGCCUACCGAUAGCUGGGUGCCCCCAAAAGGCAUAUAAGUGCCUCCCUCCAAAAAAGGAGGGAAUAGUUUUCUUGGGACUAGCUAAGAAAACAAAGCGCAAUGAGAAACUCUAAAACUUAAAAGAUAAAAUAAGCCUAAAAACAGCUACAGUAAAAAAACCAGUAAAAAGGUAAACAAAUAUCUAAAGAAUAAUUAUAGAUAACUCAUGCGAAUAAUAGGGAGCAUUUAAGUUAAACACUAAAACUUAAAUAAAAAUGAUAGCAUAAGUAUAAAAAAAAUAAAAAAUUUAUUUAAAAAAUAAAAUUAAUAAAGGAACUCGGCAAAAGAAUAGAGCACAGACUGUUUAACAAAAACAUAGCUUCUAGAACUAAUUAGAAGUACCAUCCUGCCCAGUGAAAGAAAUUUUAAACGGCCACACUUGUGCUAAGGUAGCGUAAUCAGUUGUCCUUUUACUGAGGACUAGUAUGAAAGGAAAAACGAGGCUCGACUGUCUCUAUUAAUAAAAUAAGAAAUUAGUUUUCAGGUGAAAAAACCUGAAUAAAAUUAAAGGACGAAAAGACCCUAUAGAGUUUUAAUAUAGUAUGUUAUUAUGUUACACAGAAUAAUAAAACAUACAUACUUUAAUUGGGGCAACACAGGAACAAAAAAUUUCCUAUAUAAAACAUUUAAGAUAUUAAAAGUAAAAAUCCUCAAAGAGAAAAAGAAAAACUAC